This 1743-nucleotide long non-coding RNA is filed under the name Brassica napus (rape). RNAcentral describes it as "long non-coding RNA (BNAP_LNC011103)". Lineage: Eukaryota; Viridiplantae; Streptophyta; Magnoliopsida; Brassicales; Brassicaceae. The record is from RNAcentral.
CUCUUUUUCAUAGCUCGAGGAUGGCUCCACGGUUUGAUGAUUUUGUUUCGUCUCCUUUUCUAUCUUUGUUCUCUCAUCUUGUUGCACCUUUCAUUGCUGCUCGCUUCUCUGAUGGCUCUUUUUUCGCCAUAUUUGCUACUCCAGGUUUGGAUAGUGUUUUCUUCUGUGUAUGCUUUGUGUGCUUGGAAGGUUAUUUCUAGUCUAAAGUUUGAGCUCUUGUUUUUCGGUGGUAGGCUUCCAUUCUCCUCCCUCAGGUUGUUUCUUUUCUUCUCUUGCUUUCCUUGGUGUAGGUGUGCGGAGUUAGUCUUUGGAGCUUUGGUCUCUUCUACUUAGAGCUUUGUGGUUCUUCGCUGGCAUGAACGUCUUGUAUGUGUUUGUUUAGUUUGUGAGGUGCUUUUUACCUUUUAGCUGGUGGUUGUGAUUCCGGUGCUUGAGGCAUGUGUCUUCUUGUUUCGUGGUGACUCUGGUCUCCUGAUGAUUAUUCUUUCUCUCACCUUUUUGGGGUUUUUGGGUUUUUUUGGGUUGGUGCUUGAUCACGCUCCUUUGAGCUCGGAGGAAUGCUUUGUCUUAUAUUUUACUCUCUCUGUUCCAAAAUAGAUGAUGUUUUAGAAAUGUUAUGAUGUUUCAAAAUAGAUGAUGUUUUGAUAUUUUAUAUUAAUUUAAAUUUUAUCGAAAACUGUGUGACCAGUGAUGUUUUAUAUUUAUUUUUAAGGAUUGGAUGAAUUAAUUUUGGUUUAUAUUUUUAAUGUUUUUUUAGAAAAAAAGUGUAUACCAUAAUUCUUGUGCAUACAGUUAAAACAUCAAAUAUUUUGGAACAGAAGGAAUAUCAUUUUAUCUUUUCUAACAUCUGCUUGUUCUAUCCAUGAUAUUAUUGGUACGAUGAGGUAAGUUAGUUUUCUUUGUUGAUCUUUUUCCAGCUCCAAACUUUUAUUGAGUUAGUGUUACUAUAGUAUUUGGCUCUUUUUUUUUGGUUGUGAAAGUUGUAGGUUUAGAUUAUGUGUUGUAUUCUUGUUUUUUCUUAUUAGUUUGGUUAUUUGUGGAAGUUGUAGGGCAGUUCUGAGCAAAGUGACCUAUCUUAUCACAUCGGUAACACUCAACCUUUGAUGCGUCUCUCUCUUGCCUAUAAUAUCCGUUUUGUUAAUAUCCAAAUCUACCACGACCUCUUCCUCGAUAUCCAUACUGACCGCCUCUUCCCGAAUCAUACCUCUCCUGUUGUGAUUGGGAGUUGUGAUUGGGAGUCUGCAUACAUAAGUUUAUCUUGGCUUUGCUCGUCAUGCUUCUCUUUUUCCUUGUCAUGAAUCUUCUCCUCAUAAAAUAAUAGAAAAUGGUAAAAUAACAAAAAUAAUAGAAAAUAUUUAAAAUUAAUUUUUUUUUAUUCAUCUUGAAUUUUAGUGACUAAUAAAAUAAAUUAUCAAAUUUUAUACAAAGAUGGUUAAUAUUAAAAGAGUAAAUAGUGCAUAAUUAGAAAGUACUUCGCUAAAUUGCAAUAAUCUAUAAGAAAAAGGACUUAAAGUGUAAAAAUAUAUAUAUAUGAAAGGCACAUGUCAUCAAACUCCCUUGCCACUUGUAGAAAAAACUAACUUUAUAUAUAAAGAUUAGUAUAAGCGAAUGUGGAUGAGACUGAUAAGAAAUUAAAUAAUAUUGGUAAGAAGGGAUGCUGAGACAGAAAAUAAACAAAUUGAUAUAUAUUUUUAUUUUUAUUAUUGAACAAAAAAUUGGUAUAUAUUUCUAUUAAAAUUUGAA